RNAcentral lists this long non-coding RNA (253 nucleotides) under Prunus persica (peach). RNAcentral describes it as "long non-coding RNA (PPER_LNC005868)". Lineage: Eukaryota; Viridiplantae; Streptophyta; Magnoliopsida; Rosales; Rosaceae. The record is from RNAcentral.
UCGGAGGUCUGAACAUUGUCGACAUGGGCAAAAGUCUGGUGGCCAUGAUCGGGUUGGAAAGGCUCGGAGGUUGACGAGGGACCAAAAUGCGGGAUUGAAAUACUGGACCGAGCGAGGGACUCUAAAAGCAUAGAGACCUGACCCUUAAGCUUAGCCACCGUCGCUAUCAAAGCAGUCAUCUCGUUUGACUACGACGAUGAACGGGGUCUAGGUUCUCGCCUCAGGGCAUUCCCCAUCCCUCGACAAUAUGUCC